GGAAAACGUGUUCUCAAAAGCUCAGUGAUGUUGAUCCUGGGAAUAAAAGUAUUAAUGUUUAGUAAUAUUCUUUCCAUUUAGAUCUACAGAGUUGGAUUCUAACUGGUCGUGGUUUCAGUUGCGAUGCAUGCAAGUUGGAGGAAACGCCAAUGCAAGGCAGAGGCUUUCGGAGAGUCAUCAAAGAAGUAUGUUCACAGGAAAACAACAGGCAGUGGUAAGUGCUUUAAGAAAAUUAACACAGGAAGUGAGGGCAUGAAGAAACUGGAGGCUUCUUUAUGACAAUAUUUUUUUAAUAUCUGGGGUGACUUUGUGCUUAGGAUAAAAUACUUGUAUUUGAAUUAACAUUUAACUUCUUAAAUCUAC
RNAcentral lists this long non-coding RNA (363 nucleotides) under Saimiri boliviensis boliviensis (Bolivian squirrel monkey). Its description in RNAcentral is "lncRNA (ENSSBOG00000036472.1)". The record is from RNAcentral. Lineage: Eukaryota; Metazoa; Chordata; Mammalia; Primates; Cebidae.